Pelobates cultripes (western spadefoot toad) is the source of this 419-nucleotide non-coding RNA. NCBI's taxonomy places the organism in Eukaryota, Metazoa, Chordata, Amphibia, Anura, Pelobatidae. The record is from the annotation of a GenBank genome assembly.
CAGACAUUUUAUAUUGUGUAAUGGGACUCAGGUUGCUAAAAAUAUUUGUGACGGACCAUCAGGUCACUAUAAACUGGUGCAGGACACUCGGGCAGACCUUCCCUGAAGAUAGCUAUUUUCACUGUGCAAACCCCUUCCCUCCAGUGCCUCCCAGUUAGAGAGCUAAUACAGGUACAGCAGGCUUGACCGCAAGCUACCCAGGAACUUCAUGGAACUAUGGAUUGGACUGCAGUAGUGCUGUGAUCUUCAUCGAUGAAGCUCUUGGCCCCAGGACCUCCAAAUAGGUCGCUAACCCAACAAUACCAAAGACUUAAAGGAGCUCCAUGCAGUGGAGUGAUUAGAAGCUAUCUUUUGUUACUGGGACUUUCCACCCAGCCAUCUGUAACUGUACAGUGUAUUAGAAGAUAGUUGCAGUCCAG